This is an RNA transcript of Pezoporus occidentalis (night parrot), 6675 nucleotides long. It is a transcript of the gene named connector enhancer of kinase suppressor of ras 2-like, with no coding region annotated. The transcript is spliced from 25 exons. Lineage: Eukaryota; Metazoa; Chordata; Aves; Psittaciformes; Psittacidae. The record is from RefSeq and is a predicted model, not a curated record.
CACCAUUUCCUGGCUCUGUGCUCCAGUGUGUUGCAGGCUGUGUGCAGUGGGGGAGGUGCCAGCGCUGAUCAAGCAGUGUAAUUUUAUACAUUACUGAAUCAGUGCAGGAGAAACCUGGAGGGACAAAGCAUCAUCUUCUCUUUGAACUGCACUGUAAAAUCCUACAGCUCUCUUAGCCUAGCCAUGCUUUGAUACAUUUUUUCUCUUCUUUUUCUGAUUUUGGUGUGAAUGAUAAAGUGAUCUGAUGAUGGCUCUCGUUAUGGAACCUAUUAGCAAGUGGACGCCCAAGCAAGUAGUGGAUUGGAUGAAAGGCCUCGACGACUGCCUCCAACAAUACAUUAAAAACUUUGAAAGAGAAAAGAUCAAUGGUGAGCAGCUGCUGCACAUCACUCAUCAGGAGCUUGAGGAACUGGGAGUCACUCGGAUUGGCCACCAAGAGCUGAUUCUGGAAGCGGUUGAUCUGCUCUGUGCAUUGAAUUAUGGUUUGGAGACUGAAAACCUGAGAACUCUGUCUCACAAGCUGAAUGCCUCAGCCAAAAACCUUCAGAACUUUAUAACGGGUAGAAGGAGGAGUGGCCACUAUGAUGGCAGGGCCUCCAGACGACUGCCAAAUGAUUUUCUUACCUCUGUAGUUGACCUGAUUGGUGCUGCCAAGAACUUACUAGCCUGGCUGGACAGGUCUCCAUUUGUCAGUGUGACAGAAUACUCACUGCUGAAAAACAACAUUGUUCAACUGUGCCUGGAACUUACAACCAUUGUGCAACAGGAUUGUACAGUGUAUGAAACAGAAAAUAAAAUUCUUCAUGUGUGUAAAACCUUGUCUGGGAUUUGUGACCACAUCAUUUCGCUCUCAUCCGAUUCUCUGGUGUCACAGUCAGCACAUCUUGAGGUAGUUCAUCUCACCAGCAUUAUGCCCAGUGAGGGUUUGGGAAUGUAUAUCAAAUCAACAUAUGAUGGGCUACAUGUAAUCACAGGAACAACUGAAAACUCUCCUGCUGACCAGUGUAAGAAGAUCCAUGCUGGUGAUGAGGUGAUCCAGGUCAACCAUCAAACUGUGGUUGGCUGGCAGUUAAAGAACCUAGUAAAUGCGUUGUGGGAAGACCCAAAUGGAGUGAUUUUAACCUUGAAAAAACGUCCUCAGAAUACCCUGGUUUCUGCUCCUGCCCUUCUGAAGAAUGUGAGAUGGAAACCUCUUGCACUUCAGCCUGUAAUUCCAACCAGUCCAACAAGCAGUUCUACAACACCAACGAGUACCAUGGGCAUAUCCUCAAAACUGGAGAACUCCACACUCCAGGAUGUUUUCAUCCUGUCUCCUAUGUCAGGACUUUAUGGCCCCAGGGAUGAAAUUGGAAUAAUGUCUUGUGAUGACAUCAGCAAAUUUGGAAAGUCUGGGAUGAAAGGCUCUGACUCUCCAAGCUAUUUUCUGGAGCAUGAAAGUGGGAAAUACUACACCCUAAUUGAGAGCGAAGGCCACCCUGUGGGCUCUGAGUAUGAGAGAAGCAGAGCUACAGGAGUGCGGAGGAGAGAAAAAACACCCACUCAUGGAGAUUUAAGGCCUGUUUCUAUGCCUACUGAGUACAGUUGGAUAGGGGAGUCAAAAGAACAAAACAUGUACAAGAGGGGAAGCAGAGACUCUGAGAAUUCACUCCUGCGGUAUCUGAGUGAUGACAAGAUACUGGUUAUCCAAGAAGAGCCUUUGACACAAAAAGACAACAAAAGGGACACAGGUCGUAGAUCAAGAAAAAAGGGCAAACCCACAAGCAGUACAAAUUACCCUAUUAGUCCAUCUGUAUUGGCAUCUACUAUUAAUAUUAGGCUUGAACCUGGACAGCAAGAUGUCUUGAAUUUCUCACUGGCAGAAAACAAUACAGUUCCACUUUAUCAUAGAGCAGGAGACACAAUCAGCGGAGAUACUGAAAGAUAUGCAAGUUCUGCCAUUGACCAUCAAGGAAGCACAUCCAUGAGGAAGUCAUUCCACUACGCUUCCCUCAGGGUAAAAAGCAGAAAAUGGUCAAAAGGGAGCUCUCUAACGAGUGGGAGCAGAAGACGGAUUUCCUGCAAAGACUUGGGGCAUGGAGAUUGUGAAGGCUGGCUAUGGAAGAAAAAGGAUGCCAAAGGUUAUUUCACUCAGAAAUGGAAAAAGUACUGGUUUAUUCUGAAGGAUUCAGCCUUGUACUGGUACACAAACCAAAAUGAUGAAAAAGCAGAAGGAUUCAUUAGCUUACCCGAGUUCAGGAUAGAUAGAGCAAUUGAAUGCAGACGAAAACAUGCCUUCAAAGCAUGCCACCCCAAAAUAAAGAGCUUCUACUUUGCAACAGACUGCCUUGAAGAAAUGAAUAGAUGGAUGAAUCGUUUGGGCCUCGCAGCAAUUGGUUACACACCUGAUGACAAGGAUAUUCAUCCAGAUGAAGCAGAUUACUGGAGUGAAAGCGACCAGGAUGACAUUGAUGGCUCUCUGACCCUGAAGCAGGAAGGCUCUUCAACACUAUGUGACAGCUACCAUCGAACACCCUCAGUGAAUUCUUCAAGUCCAUUCCCUGAAGUCAAACAAGGUCGACACUUUUCAAGUGAAUCAACAUAUUCUCAUUCUUCUGCUGAGGAUUCUCGGCAAGAUGUAGCAGGAAGCACCCACUCAUCGGGAUGCAGACCUCCCUACCGAGAGAGACGCUCGUGGCAGGAUCUGAUAGAGACUCCACUAACCAGUUCAGGGCUCCAUUUUCUUCAGACUGUUCCUCCUGAUGCAGAGUACAUGAGUGGCCAGCCUGGAAUGUCACCAGACAGACGAAGACAAGCAACGCUACCAGUCCAGAGACGGCACAAUUAUGAGCAGGAUGGGCCUUUCCCUUUGGUGGAAUGUCAAAGGGGACACAGCUCUCACAGCAGGCCACAGCAGCAGCGUAGUCAAAGCCUUCCCCGAAACAGAGACGUGAGGGGUAAGGGCCAUGUGAAGUCCAUAGAAGGAACAGAUGACAAGCUAGAAGAGAAAGUUCCUAUUAGAAGGCAUAAUAGUUUCUGUGCAGAAGAAAAUGUAAAGGAAAUAGGAGAAAAUACAGAUGGUCUGCAAGAGCUCUACAAGUCUCUGGAACAAGCCAGUUUGUCAGCUUUUGGAGAGCAGCGUCCUUCCACCAAGCAGGAGUUCCGCAAGUCUUUUGUAAAGCGAUGCAAUGAUCCAGUCAUCAAUGAAAAGCUGCACCACAUCAGAGUUCUCAAGAGCACUUUAAAAGCAAAGGAAGGGGACCUUGCUGUUAUCAACAGUCUUCUGGAUGAUCCCAACUUAACAUCAAAGAAGUUUAAAGAUUGGAAACUAAAGAACUAUGAGUUUUUCCUGGACAUUUGUGAGUACAGUGCUGCUGUGAAAUCUCAAAACGGAGCCUCUGAAAUUGCAUCCUCAGCACCAAUGCUGACACAUACACACUCCUUCAUUGAAACUCACGUGUGACAGGACUCAUACCCUGAAUAAUUGCUGGGUGCCAUGAAAGAUUGAAUAAGAUAAAUACUGUAAUAUUUAUUGAUAAUGUACUCAGCAGUACUGUAAAUAAGUUGGAUAAGAGAAUAGUGCCACAGGAUGCCUACUACAUUGCAUGAUAAGACAAUAAUAUUCUUUAUUAAUUUUUUCCAUUUGCUAUUAUCAACCAAUGUCCGUAUCAAGCUCUGCAUUAGAAAGAAGCAGUGCAGAAGUGUAACUGAAAAUAAGUACCAGUAUAUUUGAAGUACUGUACUAAAACUAAGCUUAUAAUAUGAGCUCCUACAAUCAUUUUAUAUAUUUAGAUAUAGAUCAAGACAUAUCUACGUAUAUAAAAUGUAACGCAGUAGUUUACAUUACUUUUAAAAUGCCCUGAAGUUCACAUCCUCACACAUUCUUUCUUGAGAAAAACACAAAAUGAAAACAUCAACACAUUGGCCACUCUUAGAGAUGAAUGUUUAUUUUUGCAACAUUUCCAGGUAGUGACCAUCAUUGCAAAUAAAAGGACAGAGUUAUCAAAAUGUAAACUCAAUCCCUAUAGUGUGCCUUAAAAUGUACACUGUACAUCUAGCAAAUAGAUCCCAGUCUGGCCCUAUGGGCAUACUGUACAUGCCAUUUAGGUACUGUGUUUGAAACAUACUGUGACUGCCUUUAAAGUGAAAGAAUAUAAGCAAGCAGGUAUGGCACAGAGAUUAAGAUACGAGUAGAACAAUGUUGGUUGUUCACUAAUGCUGCAACUCAAACUGAUUUUAAUAUAAUUUGAAGUAUAUCAUGGUGAAAGAAAAUACAUCUGCACUGAAUAUACUACAUACUGCAGGUUUUCAUAGUUUCUUCACUGUGAAUUUAAGUGACAUGUGACUGUGAGUCACAGAAUUCUAAAGAGCAUGCUUCAAGGAUGAGAAUUAAGUUUAAGAAACUCCUGAACUAAUCAAUUAAACUGUAAUAGACUGACACCUAGAGCUGAGAAAAUGAUUCAAAAUGAUACAAUGUCUGGCAAUAAUUUUUAACUGUUAGUAAUACAUUAGGAAGUGGGUGAAGUUAUUCAAUACAUCAUUUGAAACUCAAUCUUGUACUGAUUGGUUUAGGAAGACACAUGAGUCACAUAGUGUAUUUCACUUCCUUGCCUGGAUGGGAAUGAUUUCUAAGAAUCAGAUUUUGGAGAAAAUACUUUUGGAAAAAAGAUAAAAAGAACAAACAAACAAAAAAAUUGCUCUAUGUUCAGUAGCAUUUACUGAACAUAAACUCCUAACACCCGUUCACAAUUUUCUUUGACUAUGCUUGCUAGAAUAUUUCUAAAAGCAGAACAAAGGGGAUGUGAAUUCAGCUGGCAUCAUUUCACUCAAACACAAGCAUUCACUGAUAAUCUUUCCAUGAGAUAAAUCUCGUCUCUCAUACAUCAAGAACCGUAAAAUUGACACAGCUCAGUACAAUAUAGGAAAAAACAUUAUCUUAGUGAGGUCCUGCUAUCCAGGAAGACGUCAUUAUUCAAGAAGCCAGAAGUGGUGAAGUUUGAACUAAAGUUAUUUUUUAGUUCAGUCUCCACAAAGCGGCUGUGGUGGGCUGAUCUUGGCUGGCCACCAGUUUACUCAUUCCUCCUCCUCCUCAUUAGGGAAACAAGGAGAAACUAUCAUGGAAAAGCUUGUGGGUUGAAACAGGGAGAUCACCUACCAUGGGCAAAAUAGACUUGGUUUGGAGAAAAUUAAUGUAAUUUAUUGCCAAUUAAAAAUACUAUUACCACAAAAGUUGGUCAGAGAAACUCCCUAAGACUCAAUAUAGAGUUUCAGAAAGCAGCAUUCUUCAUUGCAGCUCUGGGCGCACAUGCAAAUUGCACCCAUUGCUUACCGGCAGCAGCUCUAUAUUUAGCAUACUCAUGCAUAUUUACAGCUUUCCCAGGAAGUUACUUACAUAUUCAUGACAUUCCCGGGAACUAAUUAUAAUAUUUGCAUCCUAAUUACACAUGCGCUUUCUUGCUGAGUGGGGGUCUCUGCUGGUCUCUGAUAGUCUUCCUCACUGUGUUUACUGAAUGACCUCAGUGCCUGCGCACGCUCACAAGGUCCUAGUGCUGAGUUAGCAGCUGGUAGGUCCUGGCAUCUGUUCUAUUCCACACUGGAUGCCACUCUACUCUCUUAAAGGCUGGCAUCCUUGGUCUGAUUUAUUGUCUCCUUAGUUGCUAUCAGUCCCAUAAUGUUCCUUCUCUUGUCAGCCCAACAUUUCUUUCUCUCUACGUGUUAGCAAGUUAGAACAGUUUGCUCUAUUCUACUAUGGCACUUUAAAGUCACACCUCUAUUGUUAGUUUAAACCUGUAAUUUGAGUCUACAUUUUCCCCUUUGAGACACAGGAUAUAUGUAUAUAUCCUGAUAUAUGUAUACAUAUAUAUGUAUAUAUACAUAUAUCCUGUAGAUCUCAUUCUAUACCCUUUACCCAUAUUUGAUUCUAAUACACCAUUGUGACCAACAACUACAAAAUUAAAUCAUCAUACAUGCUAGGAUACAGACACAAAUUACUGAUGAUCAUUACAAACGAGGUUUUUUUUAACCAUAUUCAAUUUGGUAGCCAAGAAGUAAGUCCAUGCCAUAAUUCUUCAAAUCCCCAGGAAGUAUCACCUUCAGCAGCCUGAUAGAAGACCUUAGCUUGCUUCCAGAUAUCUGCCAGAUCUGUGGAUAUCCUGCCACUCUGGUCUAUGUAUGUGCAGCAGCUUGUGUUUAUAACUGUACAAACACCUCCUUGGGAAGAUAGUAGCUGAUCAAGCGCCACACGGUUUUGCAGUGUCAUCUGAGAUAGGCUGGAUACCUCAAUCUGUAAUGCCUGUAUAGCAUCUAUAAUGUUGUCUUUGAUGUUUCAGUUCCUGCUGCUGUAUUUAUGAUCAUCUUUUCUAAUUCACUCACCCCCAACCAAGGGAGAAACCAUCUCACAAAACUGUGACAUUUUGUAGGACAAUCAACAAUGGCAUUACGGAAUAUCUUGGUCCUUUUUAGGAAGGUUCUUAUCCGUCCUUUUUCUGGUUGGAGAGGUUUGAUUAUUGUAAUAUCCAUGAGUACAACUCUCAGUGUACAUGUUCAGUCCAUCCUGGGGGAAGGGCUUUUCUAGCAAUAUUAUGACACAACCAAUACCACCCUUUCCCUUCUGGAGCAUUCCAAUAGCCUGUCUGAGGUUCUUUGAUUUGAAGUUACAUUGUCCAGAUACAGUUUGGGUAAUGUCCUACCACGAUAUCA